Molecule: ribosomal RNA, 301 nt
Filed under: uncultured bacterium
Lineage: Bacteria
Description: partial 16S ribosomal RNA
Rfam family: Bacterial small subunit ribosomal RNA
Source: RNAcentral
CAGUCGCCGCGGGAAUACAGAGGGUGCGAGCGUUAAUCGGAUUUACUGGGCGUAAAGCGUGCGUAGGCGGCUUCUUAAGUCGGAUGUGAAAUCCCUGAGCUUAACUUAGGAAUUGCAUUCGAUACUGGGAAGCUAGAGUAUGGGAGAGGAUGGUAGAAUUCCAGGUGUAGCGGUGAAAUGCGUAGAGAUCUGGAGGAAUACCGAUGGCGAAGGCAGCCAUCUGGCCUAAUACUGACGCUGAGGUACGAAAGCGUGGGGAGCAAACAGGAUUAGAUACCCCAGUAGUCCCUGUCUCUUAUAC